UACGUAGGUGGCAAGCGUUGUCCGGAUUUACUGGGUGUAAAGGGCGUGCAGCCGGGCCGGCAAGUCAGAUGUGAAAUCCACGAGCUUAACUCGUGAACUGCAUUUGAAACUGCUGGUCUUGAGUAUCGGAGAGGUAAUCGGAAUUCCUUGUGUAGCGGUGAAAUGCGUAGAUAUAAGGAAGAACACCAGUGGCGAAGGCGGAUUACUGGACGACAACUGACGGUGAGGCGCGAGAGCGUGGGGAGCAAACAGG
This 253-nucleotide ribosomal RNA is filed under the name Oscillibacter ruminantium GH1. RNAcentral's name for it is "partial 16S ribosomal RNA". It matches the Rfam family "Bacterial small subunit ribosomal RNA", at positions 524 to 776 of the family's 1533-position model. Lineage: Bacteria; Bacillati; Bacillota; Clostridia; Eubacteriales; Oscillospiraceae. The record is from RNAcentral.